This 371-nucleotide ribosomal RNA is filed under the name Quasipaa spinosa (Chinese spiny frog). RNAcentral describes it as "partial 12S ribosomal RNA". Lineage: Eukaryota; Metazoa; Chordata; Amphibia; Anura; Dicroglossidae. The record is from RNAcentral.
CUUAAAUUACACAUGCAAGUCUCAGCACGCCCGUGAGGAUACCCUUAUACCCUUAACCAGACUAAGGAGCUGGCAUCAGGCAUACAACCCAUAACGCCUAGUCCCACCACACCCACAAGGGCAUUCAGCAGUGAUAAAUAUUGCCUAUGAGCGACAGCUUGACUCAGUUAAAGAAAAUAGAGCCGGCCAACUCGGUGCCAGCCGCCGCGGCUAAACCGCACGGGCUCAAACUGAUAUCGUCGGCGUUAAGCGUGAUUAAAGUCCUUCUACCACUAGAAUAAAACCUACACUUAGCCGUGAAAAGCUUGAUGCUAGAGAAAAUCACAAACGAAAGUUAUUCUAGAAAAUUACUUGAAUACACGACAGCUAAA